UUUCCGUAGGUGAACCUGCGGAAGGAUCAUUAAAGAGAAUAUGCCCUUCGGGGUAGAUCUCCCACCCUUUGUUUAUAUUACCUUUGUUGCUUUGGCAGGCCCGUCUUCGGACCACCGGCUUCGGCUGGUCAGUGCUUGCCAGAGGACCCAAAACUCUUAGUAUUAAUGUCGUCUGAGUACUAUAUAAUAGUUAAAACUUUCAACAACGGAUCCCUUGGUUCUG
This 223-nucleotide unclassified non-coding RNA is filed under the name plant metagenome. RNAcentral describes it as "partial contains small subunit ribosomal RNA, internal transcribed spacer 1, and 5.8S ribosomal RNA". The record is from RNAcentral.